This 412-nucleotide ribosomal RNA is filed under the name uncultured bacterium. RNAcentral's name for it is "bacterial SSU rRNA". It matches the Rfam family "Bacterial small subunit ribosomal RNA", at positions 28 to 450 of the family's 1533-position model. The record is from RNAcentral.
GAUGAACGCUGGCGGAGUGCCUAACACAUGCAAGUCGAGCGGCAGCGCGAGUAGUUUACUACUUGGCGGCGAGCGGCGGACGGCUGAGUAACGCGUGGGAACAUGCCCCAAAGUGAGGAAUAACUGCCCGAAAGGGUAGCUAAUGCCGCAUACGAUCUUCGGAUUAAAGGAUUUAUCCGCUUUGGGAGUGGCCUGCGUACGAUUAGAUAGUUGGUGAGGUAAUGGCUCACCAAGUCUACGAUCGUUAACUGGUUUGAGAGGAUGAUCAGUCAGACUGGAACUGAGACACGGUCCAGACUCCUACGGGAGGCAGCAGUGAGGAAUCCUUCCACAAUGGACGAAAGUCUGAUGGAGCAACUCCGCGUGCAGGAUGAAGGCCUUCGGGUCGUAAACUGCUUUAUGAGUGAAGAAU